Molecule: ribosomal RNA, 245 nt
Filed under: uncultured archaeon
Lineage: Archaea
Description: partial 16S ribosomal RNA
Rfam family: Archaeal small subunit ribosomal RNA
Source: RNAcentral
UACCAGCUCCUCGAGUGGUUGGGACGAUUAUUGGGUCUAAAGCGUCCGUAGCCGGCUGGAAAAGUUCUCCGUAAAAUCCAACGAUCCAAUCGUUGGAUCGCGGGGAAUACUCUCCGGCUUGGGGGCGGGGGAGGUCGGCGGUAGUCCCGGGGUAGGGGCGAAAAACAAAAUUCUAUUCUAGAAUAGUCAUGAGUGGAAUUUUUUCGCAGUCUUAUAAUCCCGGGAGGACCACCAGUGGCGAAGGC